RNAcentral lists this ribosomal RNA (123 nucleotides) under Caenorhabditis drosophilae. RNAcentral's name for it is "partial 18S ribosomal RNA". It matches the Rfam family "Eukaryotic small subunit ribosomal RNA", at positions 1709 to 1831 of the family's 1831-position model. The record is from RNAcentral. Lineage: Eukaryota; Metazoa; Nematoda; Chromadorea; Rhabditida; Rhabditidae.
UGGGGAUUGGAGCAUUCGGGCUUAACGGUCUUUUUGUUCUGAAAACCAUUUUUAUCGCAAUGGCUUGAACCGGGUAAAAGUCGUAACAAGGUAGCUGUAGGUGAACCUGCAGCUGGAUCAUCG